Molecule: ribosomal RNA, 1972 nt
Filed under: human gut metagenome
Description: bacterial LSU rRNA
Rfam family: Bacterial large subunit ribosomal RNA
Source: RNAcentral
GUUCUCCCCGAAAUAGGUUUAGGCCUAGCCUUGAGAUUAGCUACGUGGAGGUAGAGCACUGAAUAUGUAAUGGCCCCGUCUAGGGGUACUGAAUGUAAUCAAACUCCGAAUGCCACGCAAGUAUUCUCAGGAGUCAGUGUAUGGGUGAUAACGUCCAUGCGCGAAAGGAAAACAAUCCAGACCGCCAGUUAAGGUCCCAAAAUUUAUGCUAAGUGGGAAAGGAUGUGGAGUUGUCAAAACAGCUAGGAGGUUGGCUUAGAAGCAGCCACCCUUUAAAGAGUGCGUAAUAGCUCACUAGUCGAGUGACACUGCGCCGAAGAUGUACCGGGGCUAAGCAUAAUACCGAAACUGCGGAUUUGUAGCAAUACAGAUGGUAGGGGAGCGUUCUAAGGGCGAUGAAGGUGGACCGUGAGGACUGCUGGAGCGCUUAGAAGUGAGAAUGCCGGUGUGAGUAGCGCAAGCUGGGUGAGAAUCCCAGCCACCGUUUGCCUAAGGGUUCCUGGGGAAGGUUCGUCCUCCCAGGGUUAGUCGGGUCCUAAGACGAGGCCGAAAGGCGUAGCCGAUGGACAACAGGUUGAUAUUCCUGUACUACCUAUGUAACUGAUGGAAUGACGAAGAAGGCUAAAAGGAGCCGGUUAUUGGAUUCCGGUCUAAGUACAAAGGCUUAUAAAUUGGGAAAUCCGUUUAUAGUUUAAGCUGAAGUAUGAUGGCGUGAUGUAGAAAUACAUUGGAAGUCUUUUGACGCCAAGCUUCCGAGAAAAGUUUCUAGGGUUAAUUACAUAGGUACCCGUACCGAGAACCGACACAGGUGGGCAAGGAGAGUAUCCUAAGGUGAGCGAGAGAACUAUGGUUAAGGAACUCGGCAAAAUGACCCCGUAACUUAGGGAUAAGGGGUGGUCUGGCGACAGACCCGCAGUAAAGAGGCCCAGGCGACUGUUUACCAAAAACACAGCUCUCUGCUAAGUCGUAAGACGAUGUAUAGGGGGUGACACCUGCCCAGUGCUGGAAGGUUAAGAGGAUGGCUUAGAAAUGACGCAAGUCGAUAUGUUUCGAAGGUCAGAAUUGAAGCCCCAGUGAACGGCGGCCGUAACUAUAACGGUCCUAAGGUAGCGAAAUUCCUUGUCAGGUAAGUUCUGACCCGCACGAAAGGUGUAACGAUCUGGGUGCUGUCUCGACCAUAGACUCGGUGAAAUCAUAAUACCUGUGAAAAUGCAGGUUACCCGCGACAGGACGGAAAGACCCCGUGGAGCUUUACUGUAGCUUGAUAUUGAAAUUCGGUAUGUUAUGUAGAGGAUAGGUGGGAGACUUUGAAGUGAGGACGCUAGUUCUCAUGGAGUCAACCUUGGAAUACCACCCUUAAUGUAUUGGAUUUCUAACCUAGGACCGUGAUCCGGUUCAGGGACAGUGUCUGGUGGGCAGUUUGACUGGGGCGGUCGCCUCCCAAAAAGUAACGGAGGCGCCCAAUGGUUCCCUCAGAAUGGUUGGAAAUCAUUCGCAGAGCGUAAAGGUAUAAGGGAGCUUGACUGCAAGACUUACAAGUCGAGCAGAUACGAAAGUAGGGCUUAGUGAUCAGGCGAUUCAGUAUGGAAUGGUCGUCGCUUAACGGAUAAAAGUUACCCCGGGGAUAACAGGCUGAUACCACCCAAUAGUUCACAUAGACGGUGGUGUUUGGCACCUCGAUGUCGGCUCGUCACAUCCUGGAGGUGUAGUCGCUUCCAAGGGUUGGGCUGUUCGCCCAUUAAAGUGGCACGCGAGCUGGGUUCAGAACGUCGUGAGACAGUUCGGUCCCUAUCCGUCGUGGGCGUAGGAAAAUUGAGGAGAGCUAUCCUUAGUACGAGAGGACCGGGAUGGACCUACCUCUGGUGUAUCUGUUGUCACGCCAGUGGCAGUGCAGAGUAGCUAUGUAGGGAAUGGAUAACCGCUGAAAGCAUCUAAGCGGGAAGCCAACUUCAAGAUGAGUUUUCCCAUUUGU